This 627-nucleotide ribosomal RNA is filed under the name Streptomyces sp. 3SS3_05. RNAcentral describes it as "bacterial SSU rRNA". It matches the Rfam family "Bacterial small subunit ribosomal RNA", at positions 68 to 712 of the family's 1533-position model. The record is from RNAcentral. Lineage: Bacteria; Bacillati; Actinomycetota; Actinomycetes; Kitasatosporales; Streptomycetaceae.
GAUGAAGCCCUUCGGGGUGGAUUAGUGGCGAACGGGUGAGUAACACGUGGGCAAUCUGCCCUGCACUCUGGGACAAGCCCUGGAAACGGGGUCUAAUACCGGAUACGAGCCGGGGAGGCAUCUCCCUGGUUGGAAAGCUCCGGCGGUGCAGGAUGAGCCCGCGGCCUAUCAGCUUGUUGGUGAGGUAACGGCUCACCAAGGCGACGACGGGUAGCCGGCCUGAGAGGGCGACCGGCCACACUGGGACUGAGACACGGCCCAGACUCCUACGGGAGGCAGCAGUGGGGAAUAUUGCACAAUGGGCGAAAGCCUGAUGCAGCGACGCCGCGUGAGGGAUGACGGCCUUCGGGUUGUAAACCUCUUUCAGCAGGGAAGAAGCGAGAGUGACGGUACCUGCAGAAGAAGCGCCGGCUAACUACGUGCCAGCAGCCGCGGUAAUACGUAGGGCGCGAGCGUUGUCCGGAAUUAUUGGGCGUAAAGAGCUCGUAGGCGGCUUGUCACGUCGGUUGUGAAAGCCCGGGGCUUAACCCCGGGUCUGCAGUCGAUACGGGCAGGCUAUAGUUCGGUAGGGGAGAUCGGAAUUCCUGGUGAACCGGUGAAAUGCGAACAUAUCUCGAGGAACACCGG